GCCGGCGGGGGGACCCUGAAGAAGGUGGGAGAGGUGCGUGUCUGCACCCCAGAGCACAGGAAGACCGAGGAAGCCCAGAUGUACCAGCGCACAGUCAGAUUAUAUAACCAACUGGAAGAGGUUAAGCAGCGCAAGGAGGUGCGGACGAGACGGGAAUCCUAUGCCAAAAACAGGGAAAAAGCCAAGGAGUUUCAGAAGAAAACGUUACAGAAGCUCCGGGCGAAGCAAGCCCAGCACUGAAACCGCUGAAUGUGUGAAACUGUUCUGUGUGUCUUAAGAUAUUGUCUUCUAAGUUAUGUUCUAAUGUCUCUGGCCUUUUUAGAUGUAUUUUGUGGAAGGAUAAAUUACUAAAAUAACUUGAACUCAUUAUUGGCAGAUUUAACUUAAGUGCAAUUACAUUUUUUAUUUUUCUGAUUAAAGAUUUAAAACUUU
Molecule: long non-coding RNA, 432 nt
Organism: Conger conger (European conger)
Lineage: Eukaryota; Metazoa; Chordata; Actinopteri; Anguilliformes; Congridae
Exons: 3
Source: RefSeq, a predicted model, not a curated record